This is a long non-coding RNA of Cryptomeria japonica (Japanese cedar), 2429 nucleotides long. RefSeq lists it as uncharacterized. Lineage: Eukaryota; Viridiplantae; Streptophyta; Pinopsida; Cupressales; Cupressaceae. The transcript has 7 exons. The record is from RefSeq and is a predicted model, not a curated record.
AAAGUUUUGGAGCGAUAUACUUGCCUUCACAUGGAACGAGGCGGGCUUCAAGGGCUGGAGUGUUUGGUAUUAUGUAGAUGGCGGACACAGAGAGUCUCCGGUGCAGAGCCCAAUGGAAGAGAACUGAACUUUGGAGUUUUCCGAGGCUCGUCAGAGUAUCACUGCCACACCACAGUCCAAGAGGACACAUUUCUUCCACGCAUUUGGCUGAAUAGUCCACGUGCCUUGUCUUGUGGGUCGACUUCCAUUGGAGGAACUUAUGGCUCAGAUACCUUCAUUUUUGCCUGCAUUAUUUGAUGCUUUUGGGAACCACAGUGCAGAUGUUCGGAAGAUGGUCGUUUCUUUUCCAGUAGACAUAUAUAUUGUCCUUGGAAAAGCACUUUUACCUUAUCUUGGAAGCCUGAGCAGUACCCAACCGCGACUUGUAACAAUUCAUGCAAAUAGAAUUUCACAGGCAAGGUCAGGUGUUGUUGUGGACAUGCAAAAUGUAGAGGCAAUGACAGGGCACAUUAACUGUCUGACAAAAUACCUCAAAAAGAUAUGUCCUCGUGGACUACAAUGAUUUCAGGAUAUGCAUAAAAUGGAUUUGUUGACAAUGCUUCAGAAACUUUUAAGCAAAUUUAUUUAGCAGGUAUCAAGCCAAAUUCCACAACCUUUGCUUGCAUCCUCCAUGCCUGUCCCAAAACGGGAGCAUCGGAACAGGGUAUGGACAUCCUUCAAAGCAUAAAGGAUGCAAAUUUUUUCCAGAUGUAGUUACAAUUGCCCUGGUAGAUGUGUAUGUAAAAUGUGGAAGCAUAGACAACGCACGGGAAUCGUUUGACAGAAUGCCUCGAAGAGAUGUAGUCUCAUGGACUGCAGUGAUUGCAGGAUAUGCACAUAAAGUAUUUGUUGAAAGGUUUCUAGAAACUUUCAAAGAAAUGCAAUUGGCAGGUGUUAGCCAGACUAGACAACCUUUGCGAGCUUCAUCCCUUACCGUUGCAAAUGGGGAGGUUUACAAUAGGCCAAAAACAUGGAACAAAAUUCAUGGUUAUCUAGAUACCCCACCUCAAAUGAUAUCAAUGGUUCUAUCAACCAGAGUGUUCAUCCCAUCACACAACCCCUGAAAAGGGCUAUUUACGGUAGUUGUAUGGACAUGAUAAAUUGAUGGUUAUUUACGGUUGUUGCAUGAACAUGGUAAAUUGUUGUUCCUUGGCAUUUUUCUUUUGGGUUGGAUUUGGUUAUAAUGCCAUAGUAACUAGCUUUUUAUCUUAAUUAUAAUUGCUAAGUUUGUUAUUUAAAAAAAUGCAACUGACAAUGUCAAUGCUGCAGUUCAUCUUCAAGAAGCCAGUUUCUAUUUUUAAAGUUGUUUGUAUUUUAAAUUCAUCAUAAAGAUUAUUUUUCAUCACUGUUAGAGUGUAGAGCACUUUGCAUCACUGUUAGAAUGUAGUGUUCUUUGCUUUUAGAAAUUGCUUUGAAGGUGGAAUCCAAGCAACAAAAUGAGACCUUCAAAGACCAGCUAGUCCUUUUCAUCUUAGGAAAAGAACAUUUCUUGUGCAAUUAUCAACUCUUCUAACCUUGUCUCAAAUAAUGGAUCUGUUAAGGGUUCUAGACUCCUUUAUUUUUUGAAUGGGAAGAACUAUUGUGCUUAUAGAAUGCUUAUUGUAUAUUUAAUUUAUGAAUUCAUGUCCUUAAAUAGAAGGGGGAGAUCCUUGUAACUAAGUAGGAUUUACAUAUUGAAGAAUCAUAAAGUCAUGUGUCCAGUCCAAAGAAUUUUAAUUCUGAGCUUAUCCUCAUGGUUAAUGACUGUCAUGUGAACAAUUGAGAAAGUCUCUUUGAUCAUAAUUGUUAGUUUAAAGGCAACUUGGUAAAUCCUAUCCUUGAGAAUGGUGAAUAAAAGAACCUAAUUUCCCUAAGGUUUGUGGAUGAUCUCCAAAUGCUAGAUGUGGAGCAUCUACAUUCAUACAUUUUGCAGUGGCAUUUUCAAUUGAGCUUUUCUAGGACAAAAUGGGUUGUGGCUUCACUCCACUGGUUUUUUAUAGUUUGACACUUAGCCCACCUUACUAGUACGACCAAAUGAUUUUUAAUGUCUGCUCACACAAGAACUGCAUUGUACAAGGAUGAUAAAAUGUAUGAAUUCAAUUGUUCAUUUGUUAAUCUUUUGCUCUCUUGUAGAUUGGGUUGUCAAAUACGUCAAAGUGCAUAUAUAGUUCGAUUCCAGGCAUGGUUUCACCUUCACUUAGCCGAAUUUUGGUACCUGCUGAGGAAACUCGAUAUGUCAAGGGCAAACAUAUACAGGUGGACUGAUGAGAUUCAAUAAAGCAUAAGAGUCCGAUAAUAGAUUUAGUUUCUAUCUCUCACCUGCCAAAUUUAUUAGAACUAAUAAUUCUUUGUAAUUAGUUAAGGAUAACAGGGACAAAUUUAUUGAAAAUCUAGUUUUUUGGUAUGUUCAA